This 418-nucleotide ribosomal RNA is filed under the name Staphylococcus aureus. RNAcentral's name for it is "bacterial SSU rRNA". It matches the Rfam family "Bacterial small subunit ribosomal RNA", at positions 251 to 661 of the family's 1533-position model. The record is from RNAcentral. Lineage: Bacteria; Bacillati; Bacillota; Bacilli; Caryophanales; Staphylococcaceae.
GGUAAGGUAACGGCUUACCAAGGCAACGAUGCAUAGCCGACCUGAGAGGGUGAUCGGCCACACUGGAACUGAGACACGGUCCAGACUCCUACGGGAGGCAGCAGUAGGGAAUCUUCCGCAAUGGGCGAAAGCCUGACGGAGCAACGCCGCGUGAGUGAUGAAGGUCUUCGGAUCGUAAAACUCUGUUAUUAGGGAAGAACAUAUGUGUAAGUAACUGUGCACAUCUUGACGGUACCUAAUCAGAAAGCCACGGCUAACUACGUGCCAGCAGCCGCGGUAAUACGUAGGUGGCAAGCGUUAUCCGGAAUUAUUGGGCGUAAAGCGCGCGUAGGCGGUUUUUUAAGUCUGAUGUGAAAGCCCACGGCUCAACCGUGGAGGGUCAUUGGAAACUGGAAAACUUGAGUGCAGAAGAGGAAAG